Long non-coding RNA from Patella vulgata (common limpet), 795 nucleotides. RefSeq lists it as uncharacterized. Lineage: Eukaryota; Metazoa; Mollusca; Gastropoda; Patellidae. The transcript is spliced from 4 exons. The record is from RefSeq and is a predicted model, not a curated record.
AGUUGCUAUCCAUUAUAAACUUAUCAAGAUGGCAGGCGACAUGUGACCCAAAUUAAUAAUUCAAAAUGUCUGCCUUUACUCUUUGUAUGAUUGCGUUCUUCGUCAGUUUGAUUGUAGUUUCAGCAUAUGUUGAAAUACGUGACAUGAAUGUGAAUUGUGGUAAACCUGUUGUUAUACGAGAUUCUACUGUAAUACGUCUAGAGGAAGGUAACUCAGGAAGUAUACGUGCUGACUGUGAAGUUACUCUACAUACAGCGGAACAUUAUACACCCCUAUCUAACAGAGGAUUUAAAGUUAAUGUUAUAGAUCUUAAUCUACCUUGUGAUGUCGGCUCUGUUAACUUCUUUUAUUACGACAACCAUGAAUUACAGUCCAGCAAUGCCGUUUGUGAUGACAGAAUACCUAUAUUAAAUUUCAAAUCCCAGUAUAUGAUCAUUACACUUUAUAAAGUUGAUCCUAAUCAAUUUUAUGGUUAUUUUAAUUUUAUAGUUACCAAUACAAAUUAUGGUACGUGUAACAGUAACCAGACUGAAUGUGCUAAUGGCGGUUGUAUUGAUAAGAGUUUACUGAAAGAUGAAUAUGACAAUUGUGGCGACGGCUCGGACGAGAAUGGUGGAAUACCCACACACGAACAAAUCGAAUUGGCGGCAUCGAGUCUCCAUAUUUCUUUUUAUCAAAUAUUUGUGAUUUUGUUGACGUCAUUGUUUUAUUGUUUUUAGUUAUGUCAUCUGUUCGUUAUGUCAUCACAUUCCUACUGUAUCAUAUUCAUCAUUUCUGUCCAGCCAAAUAAACUUG